Phrynosoma platyrhinos (Desert horned lizard) is the source of this 72-nucleotide non-coding RNA. The record is from the annotation of a GenBank genome assembly. Lineage: Eukaryota; Metazoa; Chordata; Lepidosauria; Squamata; Phrynosomatidae.
GCCAGUGUGGUGUAGUGGUUUGAACGUUGGACUAUGACUAUGGAGAUCAGGGGUUGAUUCCCUGCUUGAGCA